GUCGAGGGGCAACGGGGAUGUUAGCUUGCUAAUAUCUGCCGGCGACCGUGCGCACGGGUGAGUAACGCGUAUGCGACCUGCCCGUCACAGGGGGAUAAUCCGGAGAAAUCCGGUCUAAUACCGCAUAAUAUCGUGAAGCUGCAUGGUUUUGCGAUUAAAGGAGCGAUCCGGUGACGGAUGGGCAUGCGUGACAUUAGCUAGUCGGCGGGGUAAUGGCCCACCGAGGCGACGAUGUCUAGGGGUUCUGAGAGGAAGGUCCCCCACACUGGUACUGAGACACGGACCAGACUCCUACGGGAGGCAGCAGUGAGGAAUAUUGGUCAAUGGGCUUACGCCUGAACCAGCCAAGUCGCGUGAGGGAAGACUGCCCUAUGGGUUGUAAACCUCUUUUGUCAGGGAGCAACGCCGGCUACGUGUAGCCGGACUGAGAGUACCUGAAGAAAAAGCAUCGGCUAACUCCGUGCCAGCAGCCGCGGUAAUACGGAGGAUGCGAGCGUUAUCCGGAUUUAUUGGGUUUAAAGGGUGCGUAGGCGGAAUGCCAAGUCAGCGGUAAAAUCGCGGGGCUCAACCUCGCUCCGCCGUUGAAACUGGCGUUCUUGAGUGGGCGAGAAGUAUGCGGAAUGCGUGGUGUGCGGUGAAAUGCAUAGAUAUCACGCAGAACUCCGAUUGCGAAGGCAGCAUACCGG
RNAcentral lists this ribosomal RNA (686 nucleotides) under uncultured bacterium. Its description in RNAcentral is "bacterial SSU rRNA". It matches the Rfam family "Bacterial small subunit ribosomal RNA", at positions 61 to 732 of the family's 1533-position model. The record is from RNAcentral.